AACGAACGCUGGCGCAAGGAAGAACACAUGCAAGUCGAGCGCGCCCUUCGGGGUGAGCGGCGGACGGGUGAGUAACGCGUGGGAACGUGCCCUUUUCUACGGAAUAGCCUCGGGAAACUGAGAGUAAUACCGUAUACGCCCUUUGGGGGAAAGAUUUAUCGGAAAAGGAUCGGCCCGCGUUGGAUUAGGUAGUUGGUGGGGUAAUGGCCUACCAAGCCGACGAUCCAUAGCUGGUUUGAGAGGAUGAUCAGCCACACUGGGACUGAGACACGGCCCAGACUCCUACGGGAGGCAGCAGUGGGGAAUCUUAGACAAUGGGGGCAACCCUGAUCUAGCCAUGCCGCGUGAGUGAUGAAGGCCUUAGGGUUGUAAAGCUCUUUCAGCUGGGAAGAUAAUGACGGUACCAGCAGAAGAAGCCCCGGCUAACUCCGUG
RNAcentral lists this ribosomal RNA (433 nucleotides) under uncultured bacterium. Its description in RNAcentral is "partial 16S ribosomal RNA". It matches the Rfam family "Bacterial small subunit ribosomal RNA", at positions 29 to 507 of the family's 1533-position model. The record is from RNAcentral.